RNAcentral lists this long non-coding RNA (1931 nucleotides) under Homo sapiens (human). RNAcentral describes it as "HSALNT0381346". The record is from RNAcentral. Lineage: Eukaryota; Metazoa; Chordata; Mammalia; Primates; Hominidae.
CAGCAACUUGUCAGCCUCUAAUACAUGUUUCUGCUUAUCCCUGAACAACUCAUCCUGACUCAUCCCACAACUGCUCACGAUUCAGUCUGAACAUGUCUCACUCAGCCAUGACACCCAGGAGACAGGGCCUUCAAGCUUGAUUCUGUAUUCCCCUUCCCCUGAUACGAUCACAUGUAAUAGAUGCAUGUGAAGCUAUGGGAAGAAAUGAGGUGGUUGAGAACAAGAGUGAAUGGUGAGAAGGAACCAGGACUGACCCCUGUAGGACACUAACAGUCAGAGGCCAGAGACAGGAGGCACAGUCAGCAAGGGAAGCCAAGAAGAAGUGAUGAAAGAAGUAGACAGAAAAUCAGGAGAACAGGACUCAGAAGUCAAGAGACAAAAGUGCUUCAGCCUGGAGGGGGAGGCCAGCAGGAUCAAAUGCUGCUGAGAGAAUUCACAUAUGAAGCUGACUAAAAGAUACACAAUGGACUUGGCAACAGAAAGAUCAUUGGUGACUUUAGCAAACUUCCGUGUCCAUGAUCAGCUCUGUUCUCCUGGAAACCUGAUAAAGGUGGAACGUUGGCUGUGUUACCAAGCAACAAUGCUUGUGGUAAAAAUGAUCCACUUCAUCUGGACAGCGAGGGCCGUGAAUGAAUCAUAAGUACCUGGUGGGAAGCUGUGGCUCUGGAGUUCUGAAUCUUGACUCUUGGAGCUCGGCACGCCCCUUGAGGAGACAAGGAAGCUAUUCCCAUGAGACUCUUACUAGAAAUAUCAGUUUCUCAUUGGAAUAAGGCUUUAAUUUGCUAUGUAUGUGACAUUUCAGUUUACCUGGGUAUCCUGUAUUUUAUCUGGCAACCCUACUUGAGGAAAAGGAGCUAGAGAGACACCUGCCAUCAUGCAGUUGGAGUGCUGUUUCAUGCCUUUGCAUCCUUAUUCUAAAUUAAGUUAGACCAGGCACGGUGGCUCACGCCUAUAAUCCCAGCAUUUUGGGAGGCUGAGGCGGGUAGAUCACCUGAGAUCAGGAGUUCGAGAUCAGCCUGGCCAACAUGAUGAAACCCUGUCUCUACUAAAAAUACAAAAAAUCAGCCGGGUGUGGUGGCGGACUCCUGUAAUCCCAGAUGUUCGGGAGGCUGAGGCAAGAGAAUCUCUCAAAUACGGGAGGUGAAGUUUGCAGUGAGCCGAGAUUCACCAUUGCACUCCAGCCUGGGCAACAAGAACAAAACUCCAUCUCAAAAUAAAUAGUUAGUGCCAAGCAUGUCAUGCUGUAGUCAUGCGAGUCUAAGUGUCUAACAGACCCUGAGAAGAACUCCAAAGUGGGCAUCGUAACCUAGCAACAGUGACCAUCCUAGGAAGAAUAGCACCCCAGGAACCCAGAUUAUGUUCUAUGAAGAGUUCAGGUUGAGAGAGAAUUUAAAUUCUGCUCAAAGGAGGAAACAUACCGGCCAUCUUGAGAUGCCCAGGUGCCUCUGUUCUCCAUUGUUCUCUCCUUUAGGAGCAGAAAAGCAGCAAGCCAAGCAUGCUGGGUUCCCAGAAGACCAACACUAUAUUCUGAAGACACCAAGAAGAUAUUCAGUUUUUCCCCACUCAGAGAUGACAUGAUUGCAGACAUGACAUCCAUGAGCUCAAAGCUCUCAUCUCCAAAUAAACAUUGAAUUCAGCCAAACAUUGGUCAAGCACCUACUGCCAGCAGACAUGUUUUGCAUACCAGUGAAACUAGUGACAUCGGCUGGUCUAAAGGACCCCACAAGCAGUUGACUCAAAGAACAAAGUUUCCAAGUUCUGAUUUUCAUACCCCUUCCUCGAUCAAUCAACAACCACAAUUUUCUAGCCCCUUGCCCUUCAUAAUUCUCUUAAAAACCCCAGCCCAGAACCCCUCAGAGAUGGAUUCGAGGGUCUCCUUCCAUCUCCUUGCUCAGCCACCCUACAAUCAUUAAAGGCUUUCUCUGCUGCAA